CAAUGUGAGUGGCGCAAGGGUGAGUAAUGCGAAGGUAACCAACCCUGAAGUUGGGCAUAGCCGCGGGAAACUGCGGGUAAUUCCCAGCGACGUUGCGAGAUGGCAUCAUUUUGCAACCAAAGGUGUGAUUCCGCUUUAGGACGGGCCUUCGUGGUAUUAGGUAGUUGGUGAGGUAACGGCUCACCAAGCCUACGAUGCCUACCGGGUGUGAGAGCAUGACCCGGCACACUGGAACUGAGACACUGUCCAGACACCUACGGGUGGCUGCAGUCAANAAUCUUCGGCAAUGGGCGAAAAGCCUGACCCGAGCGACGCCCCCUGGAGGGAAUUGAAGGCCUUUCGGGUUUGUAAACCCUCUUUUCGUAAAAGAAGGAAGGGGCUUGUGAAAAAACAGUCCUUGGCCCUANUUU
RNAcentral lists this ribosomal RNA (410 nucleotides) under uncultured Planctomycetota bacterium. Its description in RNAcentral is "bacterial SSU rRNA". It matches the Rfam family "Bacterial small subunit ribosomal RNA", at positions 87 to 481 of the family's 1533-position model. Lineage: Bacteria; Pseudomonadati; Planctomycetota. The record is from RNAcentral.